UACGGAGGAUCCAAGCGUUAUCCGGAUUCAUUGGGUUUAAAGGGUGCGUAGGCGGAAUAGUAAGUCAGUGGUGAAAGCCUGUUGCUUAACAACAGAACUGCCAUUGAUACUGCUAAUCUUGAGUACAUUUGAUGUGGGCGGAAUGUGUCGUGUAGCGGUGAAAUGCUUAGAUAUGACACAGAACACCGAUUGCGAAGGCAGCUCACAAAACUGUUACUGACGCUGAGGCACGAAAGCGUGGGGAUCGAACAGG
RNAcentral lists this ribosomal RNA (253 nucleotides) under uncultured bacterium. RNAcentral's name for it is "partial 16S ribosomal RNA". It matches the Rfam family "Bacterial small subunit ribosomal RNA", at positions 524 to 776 of the family's 1533-position model. The record is from RNAcentral. RNAcentral also lists the same sequence under 2 other names.